GAGUUUGAUCCUGGCUCAGAGCGAACGCUGGCGGCAGGCCUAACACAUGCAAGUCGAACGAACUCUUCGGAGUUAGUGGCGGACGGGUGAGUAACACGUGGGAACGUGCCUUUUGGUUCGGAAUAACUCAGGGAAACUUGUGCUAAUACCGAAUGUGCCCUUCGGGGGAAAGAUUUAUCGCCAUUAGAGCGGCCCGCGUCUGAUUAGCUAGUUGGUGAGGUAAAGGCUCACCAAGGCGACGAUCAGUAACUGGUCUGAGAGGAUGAUCAGCCACAUUGGGACUGAGACACGGCCCAAACUCCUACGGGAGGCAGCAGUGGGGAAUCUUGCGCAAUGGGCGAAAGCCUGACGCAGCCAUGCCGCGUGAAUGAUGAAGGUCUUAGGAUUGUAAAAUUCUUUCACCGGGGACGAUAAUGACGGUACCCGGAGAAGAAGCCCCGGCUAACUUCGUGCCAGCCGCCGCGGUAAC
This 469-nucleotide ribosomal RNA is filed under the name uncultured microorganism. Its description in RNAcentral is "bacterial SSU rRNA". It matches the Rfam family "Bacterial small subunit ribosomal RNA", at positions 9 to 524 of the family's 1533-position model. The record is from RNAcentral.